ACAGAGGGUGCUAGCGUUGUUCGGAAUCAUUGGGCGUAAAGAGCGCGUAGGCGGUUUGCUAAGUCCGGUGUGAAAGCCCUCGGCUUAACUGAGGAAGUGCAUUGGAUACUGGCAAGCUUGAGUGUGAGAGAGGAUUGUGGAAUUCCUGGUGUAGCGGUGAAAUGCGUAGAUAUCAGGAGGAACACCGGUGGCGAAGGCGGCAAUCUGGAUCAUAACUGACGCUGAGGCGCGAAAGCGUGGGUAGCAAACAGGA
Molecule: ribosomal RNA, 253 nt
Filed under: uncultured prokaryote
Description: partial 16S ribosomal RNA
Rfam family: Bacterial small subunit ribosomal RNA
Source: RNAcentral